AACGCACCUUGCGCUCCUUGGUAUUCCGAGGAGCAUGCCUGUUUGAGUGUCAUUAAAUUCUCAACCCCUUCAGUUGUGAUGGGGCUUGGAUAUGGGAGUUUGCGGGUCCUUUAUCAGUAAAGGUCAGCUCUCCUGAAAUACAUUAGCGGAACCGUUUGCAGUCCCGUCACUAGUGUGAUAAUUAUCUACACUGUGAUGAUUGCUCUCUGACUAGUUCAGCUGCUAAUCGUCCGUUACGGACAAUGUUUAAUGAAAUUCUUGACCUCAAAUCAGGUAGGACUACCCGCUGAACUUAA
This 296-nucleotide unclassified non-coding RNA is filed under the name uncultured Agaricales. RNAcentral's name for it is "sequence contains 5.8S rRNA gene, ITS2, 28S rRNA gene". The stretch from base 1 to 52 matches the Rfam family "5.8S ribosomal RNA", at positions 103 to 154 of the family's 154-position model. Lineage: Eukaryota; Fungi; Basidiomycota; Agaricomycetes; Agaricales. The record is from RNAcentral.